AGGCAAUUAUUUUAAUAAAAAUCUUUGAUUUCGGCUCAAAAGCUUGCGGUUAAAGUCCGCAAUUGCCCA
Molecule: transfer RNA, 69 nt
Filed under: Amblygobius phalaena (banded goby)
Lineage: Eukaryota; Metazoa; Chordata; Actinopteri; Gobiiformes; Gobiidae
Description: tRNA-Arg
Rfam family: tRNA
About the family: Transfer RNA (tRNA) molecules are approximately 80 nucleotides in length. Their secondary structure includes four short double-helical elements and three loops (D, anti-codon, and T loops).
Source: RNAcentral